UGGUAACCUGGAGAGACACUUGAGGGAAGA
Molecule: non-coding RNA, 30 nt
Filed under: Mus musculus (house mouse)
Lineage: Eukaryota; Metazoa; Chordata; Mammalia; Rodentia; Muridae
Source: RNAcentral